RNAcentral lists this long non-coding RNA (557 nucleotides) under Ananas comosus (pineapple). Its description in RNAcentral is "long non-coding RNA (ACOM_LNC030052)". The record is from RNAcentral. Lineage: Eukaryota; Viridiplantae; Streptophyta; Magnoliopsida; Poales; Bromeliaceae.
AUAUAUGAUAUAUAUAUAAAAACAUGUUUUUAAUAAUUAAGGUGGUGGGGCCAUUAUUUAUAGUGGAAUUGUCCAACUUUUAGAUAUUAUAUACUUUUUUUUGUUUUUAAGGAUUAUUGCAUACAGCUUCGUGUAAACAUAUCGAAUAACAAAUAUAUCUCUAUAAAGUUCAAUUUUUUAUUUUUAUCCUUACAAAAAUUCAGUGAUAUUCAUAUUUGUUACUGUGGUUUGUUACAGUUAGAGCAUUAUUUAUUUUUUAACAGCAGUUAAGUGAAAUGAUAUUUUUAUCCUUACAAAUAUAUCUCUUUAAAAGCUCCAGCUGUUAGAAUUAUAUAGAAACAUUCUUCCAAAAAAAUAUUUUAUCCAAUAAUAUAAAAGGAGUAAAAAAAUCAAUUUAACUCAUUCACUAAUCAGGAUUAAGUAUUUUACUUAUGGUUAACUAUAUUUUUCUAACGGAUCUUAACAGCAGGAAUAUAUUUAAAAAUGAUAAGGCUUUUGCAUAGAUAAAAAUAAAAUAUUAAACUUUAUAAAAAUAUAUUUGCUAUUUGAUAUGUUUA